UUGGAUGGAUGCUUGCAUGCAGUGGGUUUGUAUCACAGAUGAAAAACACUGGGCCUUGAAAAUCUACCAUUUUACAGCAAGCAGGAAGUAAACCUACUCUUUGUCUCCAAAAGAGAUGUGACCUUGUUUCUCAAAACUGCUCACUGAAGACAACUCUGGGAAAUGGUUCAGUGGAGAGCGGUCAGAGCUUUGAACCUUUGCCUUGCCCAGAUAGGAGGUUUCAAAGGGACUCAGGGCCUCUGGCUGAUUGCCUCUCCCAAAGAUCCCAAGACAGGUGAUCAUAGGCCUAAAAGAGUUGUAAUCCUUGCCCAAAUUCAUAUAGCUGAAGAAGAGAGGCUGGACCCAGCCUAGGGAUGUCCCCAACCUCGUAUUUUUCUGACUGCACACUGCUGUCCUGCCCUCUCUGCAGAGAUUUUUAAAAGAUGCUGGAAGAGGGUAUCAAAGGACAUUCAGUACGACAAUGGAACAAACAUCU
Suricata suricatta (meerkat) is the source of this 475-nucleotide long non-coding RNA. RefSeq lists it as uncharacterized. The transcript is spliced from 3 exons. The record is from RefSeq and is a predicted model, not a curated record. NCBI's taxonomy places the organism in Eukaryota, Metazoa, Chordata, Mammalia, Carnivora, Herpestidae.